UACGGGGGGGACAAGCGUUGUUCGGAAUUACUGGGCGUAAAGGGCUCGUAGGUGGCCAACUAAGUCAGACGUGAAAUCCCCAGGCUUAACCUGGGAACUGCGUCUGAUACUGGAUGGCUAGAGUUUGGGAGAGGGAUGCGGAAUUCCAGGUGUAGCGGUGAAAUGCGUAGAUAUCUGGAGGAACACCGGUGGCGAAGGCGGCAUCCUGGACCAACACUGACGCUGAGGAGCGAAAGCCAGGGGAGCAAACGGG
Molecule: ribosomal RNA, 253 nt
Filed under: uncultured bacterium
Lineage: Bacteria
Description: partial 16S ribosomal RNA
Rfam family: Bacterial small subunit ribosomal RNA
Source: RNAcentral